AACGAACGCUGGCGGCAUGCCUAACACAUGCAAGUCGAGCGAGACCUUCGGGUCUAGUGGCGCACGGGUGCGUAACGCGUGGGAACCUGCCCUUAGGUUCGGAAUAACUCCCCGAAAGGGGUGCUAAUACCGGAUAAUGUCUUCGGACCAAAGAUUUAUCGCCUUUGGAUGGGCCCGCGUUGGAUUAGCUAGUUGGUAGGGUAAAAGCCUACCAAGGCGACGAUCCAUAGCUGGUCUGAGAGGAUGAUCAGCCACACUGGGACUGAGACACGGCCCAGACUCCUACGGGAGGCAGCAGUGGGGAAUAUUGGACAGUGGGCGAAAGCCUGAUCCAGCAAUGCCGCGUGAGUGAUGAAGGCCUUAGGGUUGUAAAGCUCUUUUACCCGGGAUGAUAAUGACAGUACCGGGAGAAUAAGCUCCGGCUAACUCCGUG
RNAcentral lists this ribosomal RNA (433 nucleotides) under uncultured bacterium. RNAcentral describes it as "partial 16S ribosomal RNA". It matches the Rfam family "Bacterial small subunit ribosomal RNA", at positions 29 to 507 of the family's 1533-position model. The record is from RNAcentral.